UUGGAAGACUGAGAUGUGGCAACUGUAGCCCUGUCAUCCUCCAUACUCACAUCAGGGCUUCAAUAGAAUCAUUUCCUUCCAUCCUGUGCAACUGAGUCCACAGCAGAUUUUGAAUCUGUUACCUGGGGGACAUCGAGUGAGGAAUUUGCCUUGUCACCAGCCAUGGGAAUCUGGCUGUGAGCUUUCUUCAACAACAAAUAAUGAGGUCUUCUAAUUUACUUGCAUAGACCACUGGAGACUACAGUGAUUUAAAAGAAGCCUAGAAUUGACUUCACAAAUUUGACUAAAGCAAAAUUUGAGGACAUUUUGAAGUGUCUUCUUCAAACAAAUCAUCCAAAGGAAUUCUGAGCUCGGAGUUUUAAAUUCAGCACCAUCAUUAAGUCCAUCUUCAAAGUCAAGCCCCAAAAUGGAAACAGCAAGAAGUACCAACGAAAGAAGAGUGGCAGAUGAAAAUGAUGGACUUUGGGGAACUGGUGAAGCUGACAGGAAAAAUUCAAAACCAGCACGAUCAAGUAUUCCAAAAAGAUUGGGCUAAAUUUAUAUGACAUUUGAAAGAUCAUUGUAAGCAAUUAACAUCACUAGUAGGGUUGACUGAAAAUUUGUAAUGAGAAACUUUCUUCCUUUUUAUAUUUAUUUAAAUUUUGAGAUAUUUCGUAAUGAGUUUAAUUGGAAAACGUAUAAAAUGCUAUGACAUAAAGGUUAACUUUGACAGCCAUAAGGCGGGAGGGAAGGAAAUCGAUAGGCUCUAAAGAGCCAGAGAGGUAAAGUGGAUAAUAAUGGUGUGAUUAUAUAU
This is a long non-coding RNA of Podarcis raffonei (Aeolian wall lizard), 793 nucleotides long. RefSeq lists it as uncharacterized. The record is from RefSeq and is a predicted model, not a curated record. NCBI's taxonomy places the organism in Eukaryota, Metazoa, Chordata, Lepidosauria, Squamata, Lacertidae. The transcript is spliced from 4 exons.